AUGGCCACCGCCGCCGCCGCCACCUUCCUCUCCGCGCCUCGCAGCGACCGCCAUGGCGCGCGGCGCGUCGCCGUCGCCUGCUCGGUGCCGCUGAAGCGGGUGGCGCCCGAGUCGCUGCAGGCCGCAAGCGGGUCCCUCGUGGGCGUGCCGAGCCGCGGGACUGGGGACCUGGGCGGGCCCGGCGCCAUGGAGUACCUGACGGCCGUGCUGGCCUCCAAGGUGUACGACGUGGCCGUCGAGACGCCGCUGGAGCGCGCCGGCAAGCUCUCGGAGCGCCUCGGGGUCGACCUCCGCAUCAAGCGCGAGGACCUGCAGCCGGUAUUUUCAUUCAAGUUGAGAGGUGCAUAUAAUAUGAUGUCAAAGCUCUCCCAAGAGCAGUUAAACAAUGGCGUUAUCUGCUCCUCUGCUGGAAACCAUGCUCAAGGAGUUGCUCUUUCUGCUCGAAAACUGGGCUGUGAUGCCAUUAUUGUCAUGCCUGUGACAACACCAGAAAUCAAGUGGCGAUCAGUGGAGAGAUUGGGUGCGACAGUCAUUCUCAAAGGAGACUCGUACGAUGAAGCUCAAUCAUAUGCAAAACUACGCUGUCAAGAGGAAGGCCGCACAUUCAUACCUCCUUUUGACCAUCCCGAUAUUAUUGCUGGACAAGGAACUGUUGGCAUGGAAAUUGUUCACCAAUUGCAAGGUCCAUUACAUGCAAUAUUUGUACCUGUGGGAGGUGGUGGGUUAAUUGCUGGAAUUGCUGCCUAUGUAAAACGGGUCCGCCCUGAGGUCAAAAUAAUUGGAGUGGAGCCCUCAGAUGCAAAUGCCAUGGCAUUGUCCUUGUGUCAUGGCCAGAGGGUCAUGUUAAAACAUGCUGGAGGGUUUGCUAAUGGUGUAGCUGUCAAAGUUGUAGGCAAGGAGACAUUUCGCCUGUGUCAAAAUUUCGUAGAUGGCAUUGUCCUGGUCAGCCAAGAUGCUAUUUGUGCUUCAAUAAAGGAUAUGUUUGAGGAGAACAGGAAUAUCCCUGAACCUUCUGGGGCCCUUGCCUUGGCUGGGGCUGAAGCUUACUGCAAAUACUAUGGUUUGAAAGGGGAAACUGUGGUUGCAAUAAGUAGCGGUGCAAAUAUGAACUUUGAUACACUUAGAUUAGUAGCUGAGCUUCCUGAUGUUGGUCGAAAACCAGAAGCGGUAUUAGCUACAUUUUUGCCGGAGGAGCAGGGAAGCUUCAAAAAGUUUGCAGAACUGUUUGGCCGGAUGAAUAUUACCGGAUUCAAACACAUAUGUGAUUCUCAUGGAAAAGAAGCCCUUGUUCUACACAGCGGAAGUGAUAACGUCGGAGAUGAACGGGCAAAGGCUAAACUUGUAGCAGCUGGAGCCGAUGGCCUGGAAUGUGAGGAUAGCUAUAGACCCUACAGAGAGGGGGGAAAGCUGCUGGCGUGGCUGGGCAUCUGCAUGGGCACCACCACCGGGAUCUUCAACCUCAUGACGGCGGGGCUCGGCCUGUACGUGAAAGCGCAGCACCCAAGUGCGCACCCGCUGGUGGUCGCAUGCUGGGAGGCCUUGCCGCUCACCAUGGUUCGUGUCGUCCUCGUGUCCAGCCUCGGCGCCACGCUCGCUCUCGUCAUCCUGCUCAUGUAUGCAAGCAUGAAGAUGACCUUGCAGGGGGGUUCCCCGUCUGGCUCGGCCUAG
Molecule: ribosomal RNA, 1668 nt
Filed under: Triticum aestivum (bread wheat)
Lineage: Eukaryota; Viridiplantae; Streptophyta; Magnoliopsida; Poales; Poaceae
Description: partial small subunit ribosomal RNA
Source: RNAcentral